This 209-nucleotide long non-coding RNA is filed under the name Homo sapiens (human). Its description in RNAcentral is "HSALNT0185972". Lineage: Eukaryota; Metazoa; Chordata; Mammalia; Primates; Hominidae. The record is from RNAcentral.
CUUUCCUUUCUAAUAGCUUUUAAGAUUGUUCCCUUUAUCUUCAAUUGUCUGCAGUCUCAUCUGCUGCAUUAUAGCAAUUUAAAAGGCUGUGUCUUCCAACUAAGGACUUGUGUUUUUUUGAAACGGAGUCUUGCUCUGUCACCCAGGCUGGAGGGCUGCGGUGCGAUCUUGGUUCACUGCAACCGCCGCCUCCCAAGUUCAAGGAAUUC